UGGCGCAGUGGUUAAAGUGCUUGGCUGCUAACCAAAAGGGCGGUGGUUCGAACCCACC
This 58-nucleotide transfer RNA is filed under the name Loxodonta africana (African savanna elephant). It matches the Rfam family "tRNA", at positions 8 to 63 of the family's 71-position model. From Rfam's summary of the family: Transfer RNA (tRNA) molecules are approximately 80 nucleotides in length. Their secondary structure includes four short double-helical elements and three loops (D, anti-codon, and T loops). Lineage: Eukaryota; Metazoa; Chordata; Mammalia; Proboscidea; Elephantidae. The record is from Rfam by way of RNAcentral.